GAUGAACGCUGGCGGCGUGCCUAAUACAUGCAAGUCGAGCGAACAGACGAGGAGCUUGCUCCUCUGACGUUAGCGGCGGACGGGUGAGUAACACGUGGAUAACCUACCUAUAAGACUGGGAUAACUUCGGGAAACCGGAGCUAAUACCGGAUAAUAUAUUGAACCGCAUGGUUCAAUAGUGAAAGACGGUUUUGCUGUAACUUAUAGAUGGAUCCGCGCCGCAUUGGCUAGUUGGUAAGGUAACGGAUUACCAAGGCAACGAUGCGUAGCCGACCUGAGAGGGUGAACGGACACGCUAGAAAGGAGAAACAGUCCAGGCUCCAACGGGAGGCAGCAGUAGGUAAGCUACCGCAAUGGGCGAAAGCCUGACGGAGCAACGCCACGUGAGUGAUGAAGGUCUUCGGAUCGUAAAACUCUGUUAUUAGAGAAGAACAAAUGUGUAAGUAACGAUGUACGUCUUGGCGGUACCUGAUCAGAGAGCCACGGCUAACUACGU
Molecule: ribosomal RNA, 496 nt
Filed under: uncultured bacterium
Lineage: Bacteria
Description: partial 16S ribosomal RNA
Rfam family: Bacterial small subunit ribosomal RNA
Source: RNAcentral